UAUUAGAAAGAAUACCAAUUGCGAAGGCAGCUUUCUGGAUCAUUACUGACGCUGAGGAACGAAAGCAUGGGUAGCGAAGAGGAUUAGAUACCCUCGUAGUCCAUGCCGUAAACGAUGUGUGUUAGACGUUGGAAAUUUAUUUUCAGUGUCGCAGCGAAAGCGAUAAACACACCGCCUGGGGAGUACGACCGCAAGGUUAAAACUCAAAUGAAUUGACGGGGACCCGCACAAGUAGUGGAGCAUGUGGUUUAAUUCGAAGAUACGCGCAGAACCUUACCAACACUUGACAUGUUCGUCGCGACUUUAAGAGAUUAAAGUUUUCGGUUCGGCCGGACGAAACACAGGUGCUGCAUGGCUGUCGUCAGCUCGUGUCGUGAGAUGUUGGGUUAAGUCCCGCAACGAGCGCAACCCUCACUUUUAGUUGCCAUCAUUAAGUUGGGCACUCUGAAAGAACUGCCAGUGAUAAGCUGGAGGAAGGUGGGGAUGACGUCAAGUCCUCAUGGCCCUUACGUGUUGGGCUACACACGUGCUACAAUGGUAUCUACAACAGGAAGCAAGACUGCGAAGUUAAGCAAAUCCUUAAAAGAUACCUCAGUUCGGAUUGCACUCUGCAACUCGAGUGCAUGAAGCUGGAAUUACUAGUAAUCGUGGAUCAGCGUGCCACGGUGAAUGCGUUCCCGGGCCUUGUACACACCGCCCA
Molecule: ribosomal RNA, 700 nt
Filed under: uncultured bacterium
Lineage: Bacteria
Description: bacterial SSU rRNA
Rfam family: Bacterial small subunit ribosomal RNA
Source: RNAcentral